Molecule: ribosomal RNA, 483 nt
Filed under: uncultured bacterium
Lineage: Bacteria
Description: partial 16S ribosomal RNA
Rfam family: Bacterial small subunit ribosomal RNA
Source: RNAcentral
ACUCAAAUGAAUUGACGGGGAGGCGCACAAGCAGUGGAGCGUGUGGUUUAAUUCGAUACAAAGCGAAAAACCUCACCAGGGUUUGACAUGUAAGUGCAAGCCCCUGGAAACAGGGGAAUCCUUCGAGGGUCUUACACAGAUGCUGCAUGGCUGUCGUCAGCUCGUGGCGUGAGCUGUACCGUUAAGUCGGGAAACGAGCGCAACCCGCACCGUAUGUUGAAUAAUUCAUGCGGAACUGCCUCUUUUUGAGGAGGAAGGCGCGGAUGACGUCAAGUCAGCACGGCUCUUACACCCUGGGCUACACACACCCUACAAUGGCGAAAAACAACGAGCUGCAAACUGGUAACAGUAAGCCAAUCUCUGAAAUUUCGCCUCAGUUCAGAUUGAGGGCUGCAAUUCGCCCUCAUGAAGUCGGAAUUGCUAGUAAUCGCGAAUCAGCAGGUCGCGGUGAAUACGUUCUCGCCUCUUGUACACACCGCCCGU